Molecule: non-coding RNA, 178 nt
Organism: Streptomyces sp.
Lineage: Bacteria; Bacillati; Actinomycetota; Actinomycetes; Kitasatosporales; Streptomycetaceae
Source: Rfam
UCGCGUCACGCGCCGAAGGCAGGAGCGGGGGACCCAAGGUUUGCGUCCCAGUCGGCGCCCGGGAGACCGGGCGCCGGUCCGGGGCUAGGGGUGAAGCCGGGCGGCAGCCGCCGUCCGGCCGGGCAACUCACGGGCCCGAACCCGACAGCUCACCUCGCAGGCGUCGGUGAGGAGAUCC